RNAcentral lists this long non-coding RNA (607 nucleotides) under Homo sapiens (human). Its description in RNAcentral is "HSALNT0040039". The record is from RNAcentral. Lineage: Eukaryota; Metazoa; Chordata; Mammalia; Primates; Hominidae.
CAAAGAAUUGGCAAUGUCGUUGCCUUUCUCUGGCGGAGGGCUGGCUACUACCGUUUGAAUUUGGAAUAAGCCCAAUCAUUAAAGCCACCUUUCCUGGAACAGAAGUGUUUUUGACGCCGUGAAUCCUUUGGACCAGUUUCCAGAAUCCUCUUCAGGUAGCGCUUCUCACCAGCGUUUCCCUUUUUAUUUUGGAUAACUAGGUUCAGUCCGAAUCAUUCUAUCUCACUGGUCAAGCUCAGCCUUCUUUUUCGUUAUUCUCAUUUUUUUUCUUUCACAUGUGACAAAACAAGUGUAUUUGAACACCGCUCCCACCCUGUCCCCCACCCACUUCCCUUUAGUAGAGAACACAGUUUGAAAUGAAAAGGAGGCAUAAAUUAUAAAGGGGAAGAUAUGUGUGAGCUAAAAAUGCAGAACUUAGAAACUGGGCACGAAUGUAAGGAACACAAGAUCUCAAACCUACUUUGACUGGAUUUUCUACUUUAAUCCAUGUGUGUUGGAUGCAUCUAGAACUCUUGGCGGUGUUAUCAGAUAUUAGCUAUUCAUUCCAUGAUACAAGAACCCACAAGAAGGUCAUGCAAAGUUUAUUAAAGUAUAAAGCAGAAGCAGC